CGCGGCAUGCUGAUCCGCGAUUCUAGCGAUUCCAGCUUCACGCAGUCGAGUUGCAGACUGCGAUCCGGACUACGAUCGGUUUUCUGGGAUUGGCUCCGCCUCGCGGCUUGGCAACCCUCUGUUCCGACCAUUGUAUGACGUGUGAAGCCCUACCCAUAAGGGCCAUGAGGACUUGACGUCAUCCCCACCUUCCUCCGGUUUGUCACCGGCAGUCUCCUUAGAGUGCUCUUGCGUAGCAACUAAGGACAAGGGUUGCGCUCGUUGCGGGACUUAACCCAACAUCUCACGACACGAGCUGACGACAGCCAUGCAGCACCUGUGCGCCGGUUCUCUUUCGAGCACUCCCGCCUCUCAGCAGGAUUCCGACCAUGUCAAGGGUAGGUAAGGUUUUUCGCGUUGCAUCGAAUUAGUCCACAUCAUCCACCGCUUGUGCGGGUCCCCGUCAAUUCCUUUGAGUUUUAAUCUUGCGACCGUACUCCCCAGGCGGUCAACUUCACGCGUUAGCUACGUUACUAAGGAAAUGAAUCCCCAACAACUAGUUGACAUCGUUUAG
RNAcentral lists this ribosomal RNA (553 nucleotides) under uncultured beta proteobacterium. Its description in RNAcentral is "partial 16S ribosomal RNA". The record is from RNAcentral. Lineage: Bacteria; Pseudomonadati; Pseudomonadota; Betaproteobacteria.